This is a small nucleolar RNA of Myripristis murdjan (pinecone soldierfish), 140 nucleotides long. Ensembl annotates it as small nucleolar RNA SNORD10. Its record names the gene SNORD10. Lineage: Eukaryota; Metazoa; Chordata; Actinopteri; Holocentriformes; Holocentridae. The record is from Ensembl.
GUAUAAUGAUGAAAUCCAUGCGUGUCAACUGACUCUGGAAAUGCCUUGUGUUUUGCUGCCCCAGUCAGCGUUCUGCAGACUGGGGUCAGUCAGGACAACAAGGAUCCAGAGUAAUGAUCAGAACCUCACUGUCUGAAUAC